RNAcentral lists this ribosomal RNA (490 nucleotides) under uncultured bacterium. Its description in RNAcentral is "partial 16S ribosomal RNA". It matches the Rfam family "Bacterial small subunit ribosomal RNA", at positions 30 to 507 of the family's 1533-position model. The record is from RNAcentral.
AUUGAACGCUGGCGGCAGGCCUAACACAUGCAAGUCGAACGGUAACAGGAAGAAGCUUGCUUCUUUGCUGACGAGUGGCGGACGGGUGAGUAAUGUCUGGGAAACUGCCUGAUGGAGGGGGAUAACUACUGGAAACGGUAGCUAAUACCGCAUAACGUCGCAAGACCAAAGAGGGGGACCUUCGGGCCUCUUGCCAUCGGAUGUUCCCAGAUGGGAUUAGCUAGUAGGUGGGGUAACGGCUCACCUAGGCGACGAUCCCUAGCUGGUCUGAGAGGAUGACCAGCCACACUGGAACUGAGACACGGUCCAGACUCCUACGGGAGGCAGCAGUGGGGAAUAUUGCACAAUGGGCGCAAGCCUGAUGCAGCCAUGCCGCGUGUAUGAAGAAGGCCUUCGGGUUGUAAAGUACUUUCAGCGGGGAGGAAGGGAGUAAAGUUAAUACCUUGGCUCAUUGACGUUACCCGCAGAAGAAGCACCGGCUAACUCCGUG